AAUUUGUGACAAUGGGGGAAACCCUGAUCCAGCCAUCCUGCGUGUAUGAUGAAGGCCUUCGGGUUGUCAAGUACUUUUGGCAGAGAAGAAACGGUACCUCCUAUGACGAGGUACUGCUGACGGUAUCUGCAGAUUAAGCACCGGCUAACUACGUUCCAGCAGCCGCGGUAAUACGUAGGGUGCAAGCGUUAAUCGGAAUUACUGGGCGUAAAGCGUGUGUAGGCGGUUCGGAAAGAAAGAUGUGAAAACCCAGGGCUCAACCUUGGAACUGCAUUUUUAACUGCCGAGCUAGAGUAUGUCAGAGGGGGGUAGAAUUCCACGUGUAGCAGUGAAAUGCGUAGAUAUGUGGAGGAAUACCGAUGGCGAAGGCAGCCCCCUGGGAUAAUACUGACGCUCAGACACGAAAGCGUGGGGAGCAAACA
Molecule: ribosomal RNA, 422 nt
Filed under: uncultured bacterium
Lineage: Bacteria
Description: partial 16S ribosomal RNA
Rfam family: Bacterial small subunit ribosomal RNA
Source: RNAcentral